RNAcentral lists this ribosomal RNA (254 nucleotides) under uncultured bacterium. RNAcentral's name for it is "partial 16S ribosomal RNA". It matches the Rfam family "Bacterial small subunit ribosomal RNA", at positions 524 to 776 of the family's 1533-position model. The record is from RNAcentral.
CACGUAGGGGCGCGAGCGUUGUCCGGAAUUAUUGGGCGUAAAGAGCUCGUAGGCGGCCUGUUGCGUCCGCUGUGAAAGCCCGGGGCUUAACCCCGGGUCGGCAGUGGAUACGGGCAGGCUAGAGGUAGGUAGGGGAGAAUGGAAUUCCCGGUGUAGCGGUGAAAUGCGCAGAUAUCGGGAGGAACACCGGUGGCGAAGGCGGUUCUCUGGGCCUUACCUGACGCUGAGGAGCGAAAGCGUGGGGAGCGAACAGG